This is a non-coding RNA of Potamilus streckersoni, 75 nucleotides long. NCBI's taxonomy places the organism in Eukaryota, Metazoa, Mollusca, Bivalvia, Unionida, Unionidae. The record is from the annotation of a GenBank genome assembly.
GCUCCUGUGGCCUAGUGGUUAGAGCGUCUGCUUCAGAUGCAGGUUAUGGGUUCGAACCCUGGCUGAGUUUUAACA